Molecule: long non-coding RNA, 539 nt
Filed under: Linum usitatissimum (flax)
Lineage: Eukaryota; Viridiplantae; Streptophyta; Magnoliopsida; Malpighiales; Linaceae
Description: long non-coding RNA (LUSI_LNC001815)
Source: RNAcentral
AAAACUGUCAGUAAGUUUAGGUAUAUCCUGUAAGAAUUGGAUAUCCAAAUCAACAUCCUCUACAUAGAAAAUGAUUAAAUACCUGGUUCGAAAAAGGAAGAUCCUAAGCAAGAACAGGAACAAAACAAAAUGAAACUAAGGAAAGCAGUGAUGAUUUCAAAGUAAAUUCUCCAAUAAUCGUAAAUAUAAUAAGAGUCUAAUUAGCUCCCGAGAGAAUCUAGCACGGGGUGGUGUUUUCUAUUGGUCACGACGAAGCCGCCGAUGAUCACAAAAUUCCAACAACGUCGAAACAGAAAUGCCAGUACCGAGUUACUAAGUUUCUCAGCGAUCAAGCAAACACGAAAGAGAACAAUAAUUCCAACACAGGAUGAAUGAUAAUUAGGGAUAAGAACUUGUGCUCAUUUCCAAACAUCAAAGAAGAAAAGGAAACAGAGAGGGGGGAAAUGGACCUGAGAAUUGCGGGUAUUGUAAGUGUUAAGAGCCCAAGAGCAAGCGGAGACAAUCCAAAUACAGAGCAAAGCCAAGUAGACAGCCGGGAG